GGGUUGUGAGGUUAAGCGACUAAGCGUACACGGUGGAUGCCCUGGCAGUCAGAGGCGAUGAAGGACGUGCUAAUCUGCGAUAAGCGUCGGUAAGGUGAUAUGAACCGUUAUAACCGGCGAUUUCCGAAUGGGGAAACCCAGUGUGUUUCGACACACUAUCAUUAACUGAAUCCAUAGGUUAAUGAGGCGAACCGGGGGAACUGAAACAUCUAAGUACCCCGAGGAAAAGAAAUCAACCGAGAUUCCCCCAGUAGCGGCGAGCGAACGGGGAGCAGCCCAGAGCCUGAAUCAGUGUGUGUGUUAGUGGAAGCGUCUGGAAAGGCGCGCGAUACAGGGUGACAGCCCCGUACACAAAAAUACACAUACUGUGAGCUCGAUGAGUAGGGCGGGACACGUGGUAUCCUGUCUGAAUAUGGGGGGACCAUCCUCCAAGGCUAAAUACUCCUGACUGACCGAUAGUGAACCAGUACCGUGAGGGAAAGGCGAAAAGAACCCCGGCGAGGGGAGUGAAAAAGAACCUGAAACCGUGUACGUACAAGCAGUGGGAGCACGCUUAGGCGUGUGACUGCGUACCUUUUGUAUAAUGGGUCAGCGACUUAUAUUCUGUAGCAAGGUUAACCGAAUAGGGGAGCCGAAGGGAAACCGAGUCUUAACUGGGCGUUAAGUUGCAGGGUAUAGACCCGAAACCCGGUGAUCUAGCCAUGGGCAGGUUGAAGGUUGGGUAACACUAACUGGAGGACCGAACCGACUAAUGUUGAAAAAUUAGCGGAUGACUUGUGGCUGGGGGUGAAAGGCCAAUCAAACCGGGAGAUAGCUGGUUCUCCCCGAAAGCUAUUUAGGUAGCGCCUCGUGAAUUCAUCUCCGGGGGUAGAGCACUGUUUCGGCAAGGGGGUCAUCCCGACUUACCAACCCGAUGCAAACUGCGAAUACCGGAGAAUGUUAUCACGGGAGACACACGGCGGGUGCUAACGUCCGUCGUGAAGAGGGAAACAACCCAGACCGCCAGCUAAGGUCCCAAAGUCAUGGUUAAGUGGGAAACGAUGUGGGAAGGCCCAGACAGCCAGGAUGUUGGCUUAGAAGCAGCCAUCAUUUAAAGAAAGCGUAAUAGCUCACUGGUCGAGUCGGCCUGCGCGGAAGAUGUAACGGGGCUAAACCAUGCACCGAAGCUGCGGCAGCGACGCUGAUGCGUUGUUGGGUAGGGGAGCGUUCUGUAAGCCUGUGAAGGUGUGCUGUGAGGCAUGCUGGAGGUAUCAGAAGUGCGAAUGCUGACAUAAGUAACGAUAAAGCGGGUGAAAAGCCCGCUCGCCGGAAGACCAAGGGUUCCUGUCCAACGUUAAUCGGGGCAGGGUGAGUCGACCCCUAAGGCGAGGCCGAAAGGCGUAGUCGAUGGGAAACAGGUUAAUAUUCCUGUACUUGGUGUUACUGCGAAGGGGGGACGGAGAAGGCUAUGUUGGCCGGGCGACGGUUGUCCCGGUUUAAGCGUGUAGGCUGGUUUUCCAGGCAAAUCCGGAAAAUCAAGGCUGAGGCGUGAUGACGAGGCACUACGGUGCUGAAGCAACAAAUGCCCUGCUUCCAGGAAAAGCCUCUAAGCAUCAGGUAACAUCAAAUCGUACCCCAAACCGACACAGGUGGUCAGGUAGAGAAUACCAAGGCGCUUGAGAGAACUCGGGUGAAGGAACUAGGCAAAAUGGUGCCGUAACUUCGGGAGAAGGCACGCUGAUAUGUAGGUGAAGUCCCUCGCGGAUGGAGCUGAAAUCAGUCGAAGAUACCAGCUGGCUGCAACUGUUUAUUAAAAACACAGCACUGUGCAAACACGAAAGUGGACGUAUACGGUGUGACGCCUGCCCGGUGCCGGAAGGUUAAUUGAUGGGGUCAGCGCAAGCGAAGCUCUUGAUCGAAGCCCCGGUAAACGGCGGCCGUAACUAUAACGGUCCUAAGGUAGCGAAAUUCCUUGUCGGGUAAGUUCCGACCUGCACGAAUGGCGUAAUGAUGGCCAGGCUGUCUCCACCCGAGACUCAGUGAAAUUGAACUCGCUGUGAAGAUGCAGUGUACCCGCGGCAAGACGGAAAGACCCCGUGAACCUUUACUAUAGCUUGACACUGAACAUUGAGCCUUGAUGUGUAGGAUAGGUGGGAGGCUUUGAAGUGUGGACGCCAGUCUGCAUGGAGCCGACCUUGAAAUACCACCCUUUAAUGUUUGAUGUUCUAACGUUGACCCGUAAUCCGGGUUGCGGACAGUGUCUGGUGGGUAGUUUGACUGGGGCGGUCUCCUCCUAAAGAGUAACGGAGGAGCACGAAGGUUGGCUAAUCCUGGUCGGACAUCAGGAGGUUAGUGCAAUGGCAUAAGCCAGCUUGACUGCGAGCGUGACGGCGCGAGCAGGUGCGAAAGCAGGUCAUAGUGAUCCGGUGGUUCUGAAUGGAAGGGCCAUCGCUCAACGGAUAAAAGGUACUCCGGGGAUAACAGGCUGAUACCGCCCAAGAGUUCAUAUCGACGGCGGUGUUUGGCACCUCGAUGUCGGCUCAUCACAUCCUGGGGCUGAAGUAGGUCCCAAGGGUAUGGCUGUUCGCCAUUUAAAGUGGUACGCGAGCUGGGUUUAGAACGUCGUGAGACAGUUCGGUCCCUAUCUGCCGUGGGCGCUGGAGAACUGAGGGGGGCUGCUCCUAGUACGAGAGGACCGGAGUGGACGCAUCACUGGUGUUCGGGUUGUCAUGCCAAUGGCACUGCCCGGUAGCUAAAUGCGGAAGAGAUAAGUGCUGAAAGCAUCUAAGCACGAAACUUGCCCCGAGAUGAGUUCUCCCUGACUCCUUGAGAGUCCUGAAGGAACGUUGAAGACGACGACGUUGAUAGGCCGGGUGUGUAAGCGCAGCGAUGCGUUGAGCUAACCGGUACUAAUGAACCGUGAGGCUUAACCUUACAACGCCGAAGCUGUU
This 2930-nucleotide ribosomal RNA is filed under the name Escherichia coli. RNAcentral describes it as "bacterial LSU rRNA". It matches the Rfam family "Bacterial large subunit ribosomal RNA". Lineage: Bacteria; Pseudomonadati; Pseudomonadota; Gammaproteobacteria; Enterobacterales; Enterobacteriaceae. The record is from RNAcentral.